Molecule: RNA transcript, 11317 nt
Organism: Betta splendens (Siamese fighting fish)
Lineage: Eukaryota; Metazoa; Chordata; Actinopteri; Anabantiformes; Osphronemidae
Gene name: Golgi-associated RAB2 interactor protein 5B-like
Exons: 10
Source: RefSeq, a predicted model, not a curated record
CGGGGGGGUCGUCUGUCAGAGAGCGCUAGACUCCAUUGCCUUGCGCUACAGCGUCGCCAGAGCCAACAAUUCCAACUGCAGUAUAGGCACCAGGCGGCUCAACAAGCAUUCAACGCCUUCCCAACCGGAGAGGCCCUUAGAUUCGUCGACGCUGAGAUCCAUCAGCCGCCACGGACCGAUCACAGUCUCGACGUAUCAGACGACGCUCUUCUGGAGGUGUCACCGGACACCGGAGAGAUAUUUACUGCCGGCGAGUGCGUCGUCAAUGCGCCGCCAUCCACCCCGGAGCUGUCGCAGCAACCACAAGAACAACAAAAACAACAAGAACCGCGGAGCCCUGAAGAGGAGUGUCUAAACGGCAGCUGGAACACGUGCUGUCCAGACAGCCGAGCGUGGAGCCUUCAACUUCCCAGAGCGGGGCCCCUGUGCUUCUAGCUGAGCAGCGCGUCCCGGAACAGGCGAGGCGAGCCCCCGUGCGUCGUCCGGGGACUCCUCCUUCAAGGGGUCGUUCCGAUUCCGCUCGUCCGGGGCUACGAGGGAGGAGGCGGUUCCGAGGAUCGAGGCUGCUCUUCAAUAGGGCCGUUGAGCACAGAUUUGAGAGCGUCGUCUGGAAUGUUAUUGAGAGGAGUCUGAUGAUGAAUGAUUUGCUCCGCACGCUGAUGUGAAAACUGUGCUGGAAUGUCACUCAUUUGAAUAUUAAACAACAAGAUGGCUGAUGAAAACUCUGAUCUCAAUGAUUUACGAGCCGAAUUAGAGGAUGUGUUAACUUUGAUAUCCAAUGGCCAAAGAGGGUUUCGGGGUGUGAACAUAACCACCGAGCAUUUUGAUCGGUUGGAUGAAUUGGUCAAUUAUUUGGUGGCAAGAGUCGGAAGUGUGUCUCUGGUCUACUCCCCGAACUAUGACUUUCCUAGCGGGGGUGAUGAGUAUGUUUCUGAUUUUGAUCGAUUAGAACAGUCUGUAAACCUCUUCAUUGAAAGACUGCAAAAUCCCAGCCAGAGAAAUAAUGAACUCCCGUCAGAGGAGGGCGCACCCGAGUGCGGAGACAAUGACGAUGCUAUGGAAGGAGCUCCUCCGAGCAGAGACGGCAACCCGGAAGCACCCCCUGACGGACCCCCGACGCACGACGCGGCGCAGAGGGGAAGCGGGCCUCCGAUGAAACCAGGAUUGUAACCAGAAACAGUUUCAAUAACUUUGAAAUAAGACGACUGCUUAAUAUCGUACAGACGGACGAGGUUGAUUUUACGGGACUGUUAUGGGGAAUGUUGCCGAGAUGGUGCAGCAGGCUUUAAAUCAGACGCAGCAAGGCGACGUUAUCCAGCUCGAGCUCAGGGGGGACAUGCUGCGAUCACAAGCGGCCGCUGUUGUGUCAGUCGCGGACGGCGUGGAUUUUUCCCAAUUUCAGGACCUGCUGGACGGCGCUGUUCAGUCCAAUAUGGAAGUGUUGACGGACGGCAGCUUGGAGCUGGUGAUUCAGGUGCUGCGCAACCCCCGAGGGGGUGGUAAAAGGCUGUUGGCAAAGACCCUAGACUGCGAAAUUGUUCAAAAGGAGAAUCUGAAUUAUGUCAGCCCGUACCCAGCUCCUGAAUAUUACGGUUGUCAGCAAAUGACUCCACCCUAGUCUCCGGCGGGACGUUUAAUUUUAAAGCGGAGGCAAAGCGCUACUGCCAAAAUGACACAGAGAUUCUCAUGAAGGCGUGCUUUGCAUUUAGAGAGUGUUUUGUGAACGAGACGGCUCUAGACCCCUUCAAGCGAGCAACCAUCGCCUCCGCGUGUAUGUUUGUUUUCAGAACAAGUUUUCUUAAAGAAAACACUCUCGCCAUUCCCUGUCCGUACGACUACAAGUAUAGCAGCAAGCGCUUCUCAAACGCCUCUGUGCAGUGGUUAGAAUGGGUGAUGUUCAGAGACGGAGUGUUUAUCCAGCACGCUCUAAACGGAGGUGAACGGAGCUUUGGACGCUUGCGGGUGGAUGGCUAUUGUGAGUCAGGCGCGGUGAAGGUCGCGUAUGAAUUUCUGGGCUGCUUCUACCACGGCUGCUUGGAGUGUUUCACAGGCAGCCGCGUUCACGCCUUAACGAGGAAAACUUUUGAAAGAAUGCACGUUGAGACGCAGGAGAGAUUGACAGAGUUGAGGUCAGAGUACGGGCUCCGUGUGAUCACCAUGAAGGAGCACAACUGGGAUCUGCUGAAAAAGUCGCACCAGGGUGUGACAGCGUUCCUAAAAGCAUACAAGGCCCCUGAGCCUCUAGCCCCACGCGAUGCUCUGUACGGGGGGCGCACAUGCCCCGUGACGCUGAGAUACUCGGCGGGAGAAGAUGAGGUUGUGAGAUGUACAAUGUGAUUACAAUACAUGUGACUACGCAAAAUGAUACGGGUAAAAAGUAGAUGCAUUAUGAAUAAGUGAAAUUAGAAUGAGUACACACACACACGAUGAAUAAAUGACACUAGAAAGAAUUACAGGCUAUCAUGACAAAUGCGCCCCUCCCAGAGAUCCACCGCCUCCUGCAGGUCAUGUCGCUCAUGUUUUGACAUAGCCCGCUCCGUCAGUUCAUCUUGUAUAUCACCCAGAACCUCCACGACAUUCUCUGUAUCUUUCAGGCCGUGCAGAACGACUUUCCCCGGCCUGUAGCACUCUCUCCGCCGACACACGGAUGUUGUAUUUCUCAAGCAGUCUACUCGCCGCCGCAACGAAGCUGCUGGUCAGAACCCUCUUCUUUAGAGCUUCAUAAUAUCUUCCCAGAAAGUACGGGGGUACUCCAAACAGGCAAGUGUGCUGCAGCUGGCUGGGAUGUGAGGUCUGGCAGCCGUUGCAGAUGAACUCGUUGUAGUCGUGAACUGCGAUGUACAGAACCCGCGUCGCAAAGGCCUUUACAGUGUCCAGAAAGAGCCUCAGCAGAGGCCCGUCCAGCUCAUCCCCGCUCUCCUCCUCCGGGGCGGGAUGGAGGACCUCGCACCGCACUGACGUGAUUGAUCCAGGGGGUGCCACACUCGGUGCUGAAGCGGGCUACGAGCAGCCGACAGUCGGGGCCUCCGGGCGCGUGUAUGCUCACUCUGUAGUACCAACGGUCGCUGACGGAGCCGCUGGUUUCCCAGACAAACUUUAGUAUUUUCGGGUCGGGGUCCUCCAUGUCGAACACUCCCAUAGCGUCGCUCAAACUCUCCCCCUCGGUGUCCGUCACCGCUCGCAUCCUCUUUUCAACGGGCUCAUCUUCCUCGUCAGAUUCGUCCUCCUCCAUUCUUUCAAAAAGCUCACUCAGAUACCCCGCUAUUAUGCCGCACAAAAGACUCCAGUCAUUUGCAGUGACGGGCAUCGUUACAGUGUCGGGGGAGAAAACCUCUCCGACUUUGAGCUGGUAAAGACGCAACUCCCCCGUGGGGUAGCAAAACACAUAACCGAUAGAGCCCAACGCUAGCUUAAGUUCACCCUUGAGAGACGCGGGAGGGCUCUCUGCACUCUGCACAACCGUAACUUUGUUUUCUUAGGAGCUCCGCGCUGAAACCGAUUCUCCACCGCAACCCCAACGUUCACGCUGCUGAUGAUGUUGUCGGAAUCCUCUGCCGCUGGAGAAUCGGACAUUUUCCUGUUUUUCUCCCACACACGACAGUCUCUGGUCACUACAAAAACCCCCAUUGCAACGUCUUUAUAAAGCCGCACGCUCGAGGAGGCGGCUGAUAAAGGCCGUGCCACACAACAGUUGCGUUCUGAUGAUCACAACGCCCCUUUAACGCGGUGGAUUAAAGUUCAACGGACCUUUGACUCUGGGGUUAAAGAUCAAGCGCACUCUGACACUCUGGGGUUAAAGAUCAAGCGCACUCUGACCCUAGGGUUAAAGAUCAACGGUGAAAAGAUCAAGUGACCUUUGACACUCGGGGCUAAAGAUCAACGGUGAAAAGAUCAAGUGACCUUUGACCUAGAGCUGUCAAAAACAGAGUUGAUCGAAAGUGGGGUAUAUAUUCUCUGGUGUGUACAUAUUUUUAAGAGACGCCUUCUAUUUAAAGACACGAAUAAGCUGAGGAGAAUGAAAACAAGAACAUGUUGCUGCUGCGGCACUGCCUGUUUAAAACCACAGAUACUUAAUAGUAAAAACGUCUGCAGUGAAAAAGCUAGUCACAUUGAACUGCUACCACUGUAGUGUGUGUUGAUGUACGUGUGGGUGGGUGUCUUUGCAUCUGUGUCUGUGUGAGUCUGUUUGCUUGUGGUGCGGUUGAUUUGUUAGGGGUUCUGUCUUCCGCCCAGGGUACAGGGACCCGCUGCCUGGGUGGUCUCUUUUCUGCCGGCCCCCACCAAUUGCCAACCUUGUGCUGCGGGCCCUCCCCUCACCCUGACUUUUACAAAUGGCAUUAUUCAUGCACCAACGUCUGCCUCACCCUUUGGGUGAACAAUGUUAAGCUACAGCUUUACUAACCUUGUAGAGGGACACUCAAGACCUGAGCUGAAAAACAGGUUUUAAACCUAACUGUAAGUAUUACUGAUCACUACCAAUAUCAAUAAUGUGUAAAUAUGGAAAUUGUGAUGUUGUAUGUCAUAGAUAUUAUUAAGUAAUACAAGAUUAUUUAUAACAAUGCAUCUUUUUUGCAACUUUUUAACACUGGUCAACUUUUCAUCGUGUGCCUUUAUCAGAUUAGUGUUUUUUUCAACUUAGUCAGAUUUUUUGUGAUCCUUAACGAUACCCUGCUUUUGCUUUUGAAUGAUCAAUUAUGACUAUUUUAAGGUCCCAGCACAUGCAAAAUUCACUUUUUGGACAUUCUGGUACAUUUAUAUGACUCCCUGGUUCAUGUUAAGACACUCCUGGUGUGUUAGAAGUACACCCCCUACUUAUUUCACAUUUUGUGAGUUUAUCCAAUCCGGUUCAAGAGCCAUCGGUUUCAAAUUUGACGGACUAUGUACGUCUGCAUUCUAUUGACCACUCACAGAACCAGCUUCGGCCCAGCGGAGCAAGAAAGGAGAACUUUAUGGAUUCAUUUUAUUGUAAAUGGGCCGGUGCCAGCACCGCUGACUAAAUGCUUUUUUGUCUGUGGACACCAUUUUACCUCCAACUGCUUUGAAAACGAGGGUAUACUUAUUACUGGGCUUGAGGAUGAAAAUGGGCUCUGUUCCUACAAGAUGUGAUCCACUUGCUGCUUCCCCAAACGUAAGUACAUGCUUGAUACUUAUUUGAUAUAUGUACUCCAGAAGUUUCUCCAUUCAUAAUCUAGCUUCCCUCCUGUGUAAGGAAUGCUAAUAGCUAAAACAGUUGAUGCAAACAGCGACAGAGAGAGACAGUGUUGCAAGGUGCCGCCAUGCAAUUUGGAUGAAUCCAAGCCUUUUCAGCUUUUGUCCGGUUUGAAUCGUGUGAUAUAUGGUGCUGAGGUCAUUCACUUAGCUCACGUUCUAGCGCCACCGUCAUGUUAGCCGCUAGCGCGAUGCUAGCACAGCGUUAUCAGCUAGCGCUAGCCUCCAGCGCUGACCUUCACAUGACGUUCUGUACAACUUGGGUUUAGCUGCGAUAGUUGUGAGAGUCAGCUGUGUUUCUAAUUACUACUGAGCCUGUCGUGUGUACGUCGUAGCCAAAGUAGACCUGUGAAUUUGGGUUAUGGCAAGUUCUAUCUAAGUCUAACAUGUAUGUUGUUGCUGUCUUCUCGUAUGUGCUGACGCCUGUCAUGAUCUAGGUUUUUGUUUCCGGUUUUAUUUUGAAAGGACUUUGUUUUCAUUCAUGUUGUCAUAUUCCAGUUUCCAGUUCCUGUUUUAUUUUGAAGGACUUCCUGUUUCAGCCAGAUCACACCUGUUUCCUAUGUUAUCUCCGGUUCACCAUGCACACCUGUCAAUAGUUAGUAAUCACCGCCAGUAUUUAAGUACCACCUCAGCCAGCAGUCAAACGCCAGAUUGUUGCGAGUGUUACUUCUCUUUCCAGCAUUAUUAUCCAUGAAGCCUGCCUGUGCAUCUGACCAUCGCCUGUUCUUGAUUACCCGUUUGCCUUGUCCUACCUGUACAGCCGUGAGUAACCUGUGUUUAUCCAGCCUGUUUGACCGCCGCUCUGCUUACCCCCUUUGAACUGACGCCGAUUGCCUGCCUGUGUAUCAACCUCUGCUUGUUGUACUACCUUGGAUCUUGCCUUGACCAUUAAAUCUGACGACACUUAUCUUUUGGUGUCCAAAGCUGUGCAUGUGGGUCCGUCAUAUCAAGAUUGACAGAACAAUCUGGCCAAACUCGGACAGCCAACCGUAAUCAGACAGGUGUUUUUGGGGCUUUGUUUUUUCCCUCUCCUGGUUUUCUUUUUUAUGGAGCGCACUUUAUUUUUACCUGCCCCGGUUUACCGGAGCAUCUCCGUUGGUGCUUCGAGGAGCUCACGAAGAAAGGAGGCUUCUGGCGUAAAGGCACGGCUUCGCGUGGUGAAGCUGGCAGUGGAGAUCCUCAAGGAGGAACACUGGUGGCUUCACUACCCUGGGGUAAGGGCACUGUUCGCCAGACUCCAGGCGCUGCAGGCAGAUUUGAAACGCGCGCAAACCACAGUCUGUCCCGGCCACGGAAUCACAGUCUGUCCCGGCCACGGAAUCACAGUCUGUCCCGGCCACGGAAUCACAGUCUGUCCCGGCCACGGAACCACUGUCUGCCUCAGCCACGGAACCACUGUCUGUGUCGGCCACAGAACCACGGUCUGCCCCAGUACCGCAAGCCCGACCCAGUCACAAAACCACAGCCCGACUCCCCCAGUCCCGCAGUCCUGUCCAGCAGCACUAUGGAGUGGCUUCAGCUCCACUGCUCGCCCCUAAUCAUGUUUCUCCUGAAGGAGCUCCUCGACACUGCUACCACGGCCACCGACCCCCAGGUCCGGACGGAUGCUCCUGCCCCAGCACCGCAGCCGGCUCCUGCUCCCAGGACCCAGCCCCGUAAGAAUCCUGCUGCACCGGUUCCUCAAUCACGUCUCACCCAAGCCCCUGUGCUCCAGUCUGCACCAGCCCCUGUGCUCCAGUCUGCACCAGCCCCUGUGCUCCAGUCUGCACCAGCCCCUGUGCUUCAGUCAGCCAACAGAAAGAAGGCAGAGACUAGAACAACUGGUGGAGGACCUGCACCACCACCACUGACGCAUGCAGAGGAGAAGGCCCUCAGCAUGAACACUGGAAAGCAGAGGCUGAAGGAAUUCCUGGAGGGAGUUCAUCAGAACCAGUCACUCCCCAGGAUACAAGUGCAUGUGUAAAAUAUUCCGAUGGUAAUUUAUGAAUCCUCCUGUCACAACAGAAGCCCAGGAUAUUAGUGUGGAAGAACAGCAGGAGGAGGGUCCGUCACAUUCUGCUGCACAGAUGCACACAUCACUGGUUAAGGAGUUGUAUAAAUCUCAAGGAAAUGUUAUACUUGGACCGCCAGAUUGAAAAGACAGAUCUAGAAAUUGAAAUUCUCAAACAAAAGCUGGAGGAAAUGAAGAAAACCAAAUAAAUUAUGAUUUGCAUCUAUUCAGUUUCUUUUAUUGGUGGUGGUGGUGAUGGUUGAUUAAGACAUUAAAGCAAAUCUGUCCAUCCACUCUGCAGAUCACUGUGAUGGAAGGAGUCUCCUCAGGGUCUUGUAUUUGUAGGGCAGGGUGUUGCUCCCCUCUAAUAAUUGCAAUAUUGUGGAGAACAACACAUGUCACAUUAAUGUCACAGGCCUCUCAGGUGUUUCCCUGAGGUGACGUAGGCACUGAAGACGUGCUUUCAACAGGCCUCUGGCCAUUUCCACCCAGACUCUUGUUCUGCAGGGCCACAUUAAAGCGCUGCUGUUGCGCUGUUUUGGUCUCUGUGCGAAGGAAACAGGUGAAAUCUAUGAAUGUACUGAAAAAUUAAACAAGGUAUUUAAACACUGUUCACUUUAAAAAGGGGCCGAGACCGAAAACCUGCUCACGACCAGGUUAGGUUCACAGAGUAAGUUGCCACAGUAACUGACUCAUUGUUUCGAUUACCUCUCUUCUUGAAACGGGCCCCUGCUCCUGCCUUACGAUUACAUUUUUGAAUUUCCAUCCGUUUCGGUGCUGUGCAUGUGGGUCCAGCGUCCAGCGAGACCUGACAAUUGGUCAGUUUUGAUGCUAGUAAGAUCUAGUGAUUUGUUUGGAUCAAUAACCAAAAAAGUAACGUUUACUUGAGUACUUAAAUGAAAACUACUAUGUGCUAAUAAGUAUAGUGUACUUAAAAUUAGCCCUGUGAUAUUUACUUAUUUCUGUGUGGAACUGUGUGGAUUUUAAUCCACUUUUUUUCAGUGUAUGAGCCCUGAUCUAAAUCUUAUUGAACACCUGUGGAAGGAGCAGAAUCUUGCCUUCCAGAGAAGGACCCUACAAAUCUGAGAUUACUGGAGCAGUUUGCUCAGAAGGAGGGCCAAAAUACCUGUUGAAAGGUACAGAAAUCAUUUGAUUGCGUUGAUUGCUUCAAAAGGUUGCUCAAUAAAAUAUUAAGACAAAAACAGAAAGUGGGAGUGGCUAAAAGCAAGGAGCUAGAUUGGGCCAGAUUUUUGAAAAUCUGGCUGAAUCUCUCUCGCUGCAGUUUAUAGCUGUCCUCAGGAGCUGCACUUACACUGACCUCUCUCAAUGCUCCAGGGCUUAUACUUCAUCAAGAGGCCUUGUGACAGACCAGUAGUGACGCGGACCAUCCUCUACCCUUCACCCUUCCCUCUCUUUUCUGCUCUUAAUGUGCCUUUUGUUUGGUGUCUAAUGACAGCUGUGAUGGAACCGUCAUGCUCCAUGAGCAUGCUGGCCCCCAGCCAGGCCUUCAUUUUUCUGCUGCCACCACCUCUCUGCUCAUCAUUCUUUCUAUCCUGUCCCUGCACCAGAGAAACUGUGUUCAGUAGCUCUAAACUGUCAUCUCCUCACCCAAUCUAAUCUUGUCUAGGUAGCGCUAUAUGCCAGUUUCAUUUAGGCUUGUUGUUUAGCAAAAUAUUUGUGUGUUUAUAGAUACAUGUUUACAGAAAUAUCUUGUGCUCCAGUCUUCAGAUAGUUUUAUCCAUAGAUCCAUCCAUAGAACCACUCUGCCCCUUGGGGACUUUUGUUUCCGGCUACGUGCGGGACGCGUGGGAUUCCUGGUGCCCCGUGUGUCUGAAGCCUCUGUCCAUCGAGGAUGCAGAGGAUCUAUUCAUAUUUUGGACUUUGAUAGCAGGGCUACUAAUGAUUGGCUUUGGUGGUGCCCUGCUUUAUCGGAAGAUUGGAAAGAUUGGAAAAUCUGCGUCCGGAUUAUUGGCGAGUCCACCGGCCGUGGAGCUACAGACGCCGACAGGGCCAUGGUUACUCGGCUGACGGAAUUACACCAGAGGAUGGCCCGGAUUGAAGGACUGACAAUUACCAUCUCAGCUCGUUCGGAUGAUUUGCAUCAGAGGAUGACCCGGAUUGCAGGACUGACUAGUAAGAUUUCAGCCCGUUUGGAGGAAGACAAGAGACUGAGGGAAAACAUCUGCAGACAGACUGAACACUUGGUGAAUAUGGUGACAGCCAUGUCUGACAGGCUUGAAAGGAUGUCACGGGUGAACCAUGGUCCCACAAGAGGCGAUGAAGCCCUGAGUUCUGACCGAUUGGAGUAUUGAUCUAGACAAAUUAGUCGUGGAUUGUUAAAAUGUAUUAGAAUUGGCUGUGUAAUAUUCUGUCUCUUCUCCCUCACCCCUCCCUUCCCGAGUCCAAUCUAGCUUACCAGCUGUACUUCUAUCUAUCUUCUUCCCCUGUUGUGAGUCCCUUCAAGGACAACUGUUGGACUGACCUGUAAACAUCUUGGUCGGCCUCGGUCUUACUUCUAUAAACAACACUUCACUACACUGAUUCAGAUACACCCCUGUACAGUAUAUCAAGAACAUCUUAAUUUUUUUAAUUCUUAAUCUCAUCAUUUCAAAAGCAAUACAAGAAAACUAACAUUUCACUAUUUGACAUACAGUUCAAAUACACAGACAGUAAUGGUUUACAUAUAGAACAAGCAUAAAGUCGUGCACACACAUCAUUUUUUAUAGUUGGAAGUUAUAGCCGUUUACUCCAUAAUUUCAAACAACACUUGUUUAAUGUCUGGAAGAAUAAGCCAAAGUUUCAAUUUGUAGUAUUGUAUAUGCCCCUACAAACUAUUAACACCUACAUACUAAAUUGAGGUUAUUGUUGUCAUAAACAUAUGCCAUUGCAUACAUGUAUAAAACGUUUACUUUUUAUUUGUUGCUGGUUAAAUUGUAAUUAUAUAAUUUUCUAUUAUAUAUAUGUACACACACACACACACACACACACACACACACACACACACACACACACACACACACACACACACACACACAGUACAACUAUUUUAUGAAUUUGUAUUUUUCUCUUUACAGAAACAAUGUAUUUUUGUGUAAUUAUUAAAAAUGAGCUUUUGUAUUGUGACCUCUUUCCAGGAUGUAUGUAUUUAUGUAUGUAUUUCCACAAUUAUUUGUGGUGAGUGAAGUAAAAUAAAUAAUUUAACCAUGAGAUGAAACACCUUCAUGUCAUACAUUUCUCAGAACACUAGAUGGAGCUGUGAUCAUACGCCAGGCAGUUCUUACUCACCCAGCACUUAAAAAUACUUGUUCCCUACAUACUCAGCAGAAGGCAUACAGCUGGCUGCUCCUACUGUUUGGUUCUGUACCCAAUGAUGCUUAUGUUUUCAUUUGACAUCGUCAGUUCAUUUUCAUAACCGAUAACAUACAGGUCACCUGGGUGCUGAAACCAAUCCAGCUAUCAUUGCCCAAAAGACUGAAUAAAACUUACAGAGGUCACUAGCCCAUCACAGGAUUAUUCAUACUUAUACGUAGAGUAUAACAGAGACAACCACUACAUUACAAUGCUACUGAGACCUCUUGAGAAAAUGAUUGUUUAUUGCAAUGAAAAGCACUUACUUAGGUACAUGCACUAAAUGCUGUUCUGGUUUGACUGUAAGCCUCACUAGAUGUGAUUGUGUUCAUUUGUGCUACAAAACAUGAUCACACAAAUGAUGAAAACACCAUUAAACUGUGUUUGUGCAGAUAAAGCAAUGCAGUUGCUAUUUUGUUUUUAAAUUAAUGUCACUUUUGGUAAUUUAGUAAUUUCUCUCUUAAACAACACAACUGACAACUGUAAAUAUGUCUAAAUCUGCAUAAAAAAUAAUAAAGUGGAAAGUACCAAGUUUAGACACAACUACUUCAAACAACGUCUCUUUAUUAAUGUAGCAGGACACAUGCACAGACCACUGUGAUUAAGCUAAAUAAUUCAUAUUAUAUUGUAUUGAUAUUGACCAGCAUUCUCUAUGUACUGUUUUUAUUUACUUCAUAUAUAAUGUAAUUUGUAGUUUAAUGUACUUUACUGAACAUAUCAUUAUCGUCAUUGGGUUAACAAAACAUAGCUUAUAAGCAUAUUUAUAACUAC